UCGGGAAUUUUGCGCAAUGGACGAAAGUCUGACGCAGCAACGCCGCGUGAGGGAUGAAGGCCUUCGGGUUGUAAACCUCUUUUCUCAGGGACGAUAAUGACGGUACCUGAGGAAUAAGUCACGGCUAACUACGUGCCAGCAGCCGCGGUAAUACGUAGGUGGCUAGCGUUGUCCGGAUUUACUGGGCGUAAAGAGCGCGCAGGCGGUCGUUCAAGUCGAGUGUGAAAGCCCCCGGCUCAACUGGGGAGGGUCACUCGAUACUGAUCGACUUGAAGGCGGGAGAGGGAAGCGGAAUUCCCGGUGUAGUGGUGAAAUGCGUAGAUAUCGGGAGGAACACCAGUGGCGAAGGCGGCUUUCUGGCCCGUUCUUGACGCUGAGGCGCGAAAGCUAGGGUAGCAAAC
This 401-nucleotide ribosomal RNA is filed under the name uncultured bacterium. RNAcentral's name for it is "bacterial SSU rRNA". It matches the Rfam family "Bacterial small subunit ribosomal RNA", at positions 355 to 773 of the family's 1533-position model. The record is from RNAcentral.